AGUGAACGCUGGCGGUAGGCCUAACACAUGCAAGUCGAACGGCAGCACAGUAAGAGCUUGCUCUUACGGGUGGCGAGUGGCGGACGGGUGAGGAAUACAUCGGAAUCUACUUUUUCGUGGGGGAUAACGUAGGGAAACUUACGCUAAUACCGCAUACGACCUACGGGUGAAAGCAGGGGAUCUUCGGACCUUGCGCGAUUGAAUGAGCCGAUGUCGGAUUAGCUAGUUGGCGGGGUAAAGGCCCACCAAGGCGACGAUCCGUAGCUGGUCUGAGAGGAUGAUCAGCCACACUUGAACUGAGACACGGUCCAGGACCCUACGGGAGGCAGGAGUGGGGAAUAUUGGACAAUGGGCGCAAGCCUGAUCCAGCCAUACCGCGUGGGUGAAGAAGGCCUUCGGGUUGUAAAGCCCUUUUGUUGGGAAAGAAAAGCAGCAGGUUAAUACCCCGCUGUUCUGACGGUACCCAAAGAAUAAGCACCGGCUAACUUCGUG
RNAcentral lists this ribosomal RNA (492 nucleotides) under uncultured bacterium. Its description in RNAcentral is "partial 16S ribosomal RNA". It matches the Rfam family "Bacterial small subunit ribosomal RNA", at positions 29 to 507 of the family's 1533-position model. The record is from RNAcentral.